AGUGAAUCGAACGUGUACGUAUACGAGGCGUAAGCGUGACUGUGCUGUAAAGAUGUAUGAAGGAAGCUGCGAAGACUCCUUGCCGUUCUUUACAGAACCGAGCUUAACCGAAGUGUCACGAGGAUGAACGAGGUCACCGUUCGCAUCUUAUGCGGUUCCCACAGGGCGUCCAGGAUCUGCAGCCGGCGUUCCACUGUAGUUUUUACAUACUAAAAACCAAAUGUCUGUUUACCACCGGGUUCGUACCAGACAAGACGGUCGUCGGAGGGUCUGGCAGGGCCCGCAGUGGGCCUUAUGCUACAUAGAAGGUACUGUGGAAGAGAAUAGGAUUAAAAGGAAAUAAAAGUCCCUGAACGACGAGUAUAAAUGUUUGUACCCUCAGUCAAUUUAAGGCGGACACGCAGCGCUCGUUCGUUCGCGAUUUCGUUUCUGGCAUACGCGCAUGCGUCGAUCAUUCGUGGUGGGGAGUUUGAUGAUUCUCACGU
Cephus cinctus (wheat stem sawfly) is the source of this 485-nucleotide long non-coding RNA. RefSeq lists it as uncharacterized. NCBI's taxonomy places the organism in Eukaryota, Metazoa, Arthropoda, Insecta, Hymenoptera, Cephidae. The transcript is spliced from 3 exons. The record is from RefSeq and is a predicted model, not a curated record.